UCUCUGUUAGUAUAUCGGUUAGUACACGCGCCUGUCAUGCUUCAGUGUUUGACUUCUGUUGCGCGCGAAAGCUGGGUUCGACUCCCAGACAGAGAG
This is a non-coding RNA of Gymnopilus junonius, 96 nucleotides long. The record is from the annotation of a GenBank genome assembly. NCBI's taxonomy places the organism in Eukaryota, Fungi, Basidiomycota, Agaricomycetes, Agaricales, Galerinaceae.